RNAcentral lists this ribosomal RNA (373 nucleotides) under Pseudomonas aeruginosa. RNAcentral describes it as "partial 23S ribosomal RNA". It matches the Rfam family "Bacterial large subunit ribosomal RNA", at positions 922 to 1293 of the family's 2925-position model. Lineage: Bacteria; Pseudomonadati; Pseudomonadota; Gammaproteobacteria; Pseudomonadales; Pseudomonadaceae. The record is from RNAcentral.
GGGGGUCAUCCCGACUUACCAAACCGAUGCAAACUCCGAAUACCCAGAAGUGCCGAGCAUGGGAGACACACGGCGGGUGCUAACGUCCGUCGUGAAAAGGGAAACAACCCAGACCGCCAGCUAAGGUCCCAAAGUUGUGGUUAAGUGGUAAACGAUGUGGGAAGGCUUAGACAGCUAGGAGGUUGGCUUAGAAGCAGCCACCCUUUAAAGAAAGCGUAAUAGCUCACUAGUCGAGUCGGCCUGCGCGGAAGAUGUAACGGGGCUCAAACCACACACCGAAGCUGCGGGUGUCACGUAAGUGACGCGGUAGAGGAGCGUUCUGUAAGCCUGUGAAGGUGAGUUGAGAAGCUUGCUGGAGGUAUCAGAAGUGCGA